ACCUGGCAUACAAUGUAGAAUUCUGUGUUUAUUAAGUAACAGCUACAUUGUCUGCUGGGUUUC
Molecule: microRNA precursor, 63 nt
Filed under: Sarcophilus harrisii (Tasmanian devil)
Lineage: Eukaryota; Metazoa; Chordata; Mammalia; Dasyuromorphia; Dasyuridae
Also listed under: 2 other names
Description: Sha-Mir-221-P2a_pre stem-loop
Rfam family: mir-221 microRNA precursor family
Source: RNAcentral